This 354-nucleotide long non-coding RNA is filed under the name Mytilus galloprovincialis (Mediterranean mussel). The record is from RNAcentral. Lineage: Eukaryota; Metazoa; Mollusca; Bivalvia; Mytilida; Mytilidae.
AAUCAAUAGGGCUAGUAUAUUCGGUGUAUGGAAGGACUGUAAGGUAUACAUGUCCAACUGGCAGGUGUCAUCUGACCUUGACCUCAUUUUCAUGGUUCAGUUGUUAUAGUUAAGUUUUUGUGUUUUGGUCUGUUUUUCUCAUACUUUAUUCAAUAGAUCUACUAUAUUUGUUGUAUGGAAUGAUUGUAAGGUGUACAUGUCUAGCGGGCGGAUGUCAUCUGACCAUGACCUCAUUUUCAUGGUUGAGUGGUCAAAGUUAAGUUUUAAAGUUUUGGUCUUUUUAUCUAAUACUAUAUGCCAUAGGUCAACUAUAUUUGGUGUAUGGAAAUAUUUUUAUGAUCUAUAUGUCAGUCG